This 961-nucleotide long non-coding RNA is filed under the name Anser cygnoides (Swan goose). Its description in RNAcentral is "lncRNA (ENSACDG00005003317.1)". Lineage: Eukaryota; Metazoa; Chordata; Aves; Anseriformes; Anatidae. The record is from RNAcentral.
AUGAGAGCUGUGGGGCGGUUCCCCCCGCCUGCCAGCGUCGAUAUUUCUGCCCCCGGCUCUUUGCUUUUUGCGAGAGCUAAAACAAAAAGCAAAGGCGAACCCGGGCGAGCAUCCCGGGGCUGCCGACGGGGGCCGCAGGGUCCCCGGCACGGGGCCAGAGCCGCCUUCCCGCGCCGCUCCAAUAUUUAUUUAAGCAGGGGGCUCCGCUGCGUGCGCGCGGCCUGGCAGCAGCCGGAGCUGGCAGAGCGCGGCGCCGAGCCGCUUGGUUCGCUCGGGAGGCGACGGAGGAGGCUGUGGAAGAGAGCUUCGGUGCACGAGGACGCCGGAGAACAACCCACGGGGGAGGAACUGGCACCUCCCCGGGCGGUUUUUGCUGCCAUGGGGCAUUUUCGGGGCCGGAGCUGCACGGGGGCAGCGGCCCGGCUCAAAGGUCCCGCGGAGCCCCCGGGGGCUCCUCCAAGUUCAUCAGCCGAGCAAAUCAUUAACGCUCGCCGCAGCUGCUGCGCCCGGGGACCUUCGGACCGCGGCGGGGCCGCAGCGCGCGCGGGAGGGCGCGAGCACCUCUGUGCGCUCGCACGCGCACGUGCAAGCCCCACGUUUGGGCACACGCGUGGCGGCGUCCCCCGCCCCCCGCACGGUCCCAAAUCCUGCCCCAAACGUGGGGGGGCUGCCAAAAGGUCUCUGCUGCACCCCCAGGAGCCCCCCCCCCAAGGAGCAGGGAGGUGGCAGCCGGCACCCAGCACCUGCGGCGCUGGGCGUGCGAGGGGCACGCGGGGGUGGCAGAAAGCCACGGCCGCCUGUCCCCUGCCCCGUCCGUGUCCCCACGCCGUGCCCUACCUGCUGGCUGUGCUGCUCCCCCCUCGCUGGGGCCUGGCUCCGAGAGCUUCACCUGCGGCAGAAACAAACGGGCACUGGUGCACCACCCCAGACACUCGUGCGUCCCCCUGCGCACUCCUGCGUC